RNAcentral lists this ribosomal RNA (449 nucleotides) under uncultured bacterium. RNAcentral describes it as "partial 16S ribosomal RNA". It matches the Rfam family "Bacterial small subunit ribosomal RNA", at positions 29 to 523 of the family's 1533-position model. The record is from RNAcentral.
AAUGAACGCUGGCGGCAUGCCUAACACAUGCAAGCCGAACGAAGCCUUCGGGCUUAGUGGCGCACGGGUGCGUAACGCGUGGGAAUCUGCCCUUGGGUUCGGAAUAACAGUUAGAAAUGACUGCUAAUACCGGAUGAUGACGUAAGUCCAAAGAUUUAUCGCCCAAGGAUGAGCCCGCGUAGGAUUAGCUAGUUGGUGAGGUAAAAGCUCACCAAGGCGACGAUCCUUAGCUGGUCUGAGAGGAUGAUCAGCCACACUGGGACUGAGACACGGCCCAGACUCCUACGGGAGGCAGCAGUGGGGAAUAUUGGACAAUGGGCGAAAGCCUGAUCCAGCAAUGCCGCGUGAGUGAUGAAGGCCUUAGGGUUGUAAAGCUCUUUUACCCGGGAUGAUAAUGACAGUACCGGGAGAAUAAGCUCCGGCUAACUCCGUGCCAGCCGCCGCGGUAA